GGUUGGGCUUGGAGCUAGGAUUUUUCUGAGUGCACUGAACCAACUCCCGAGUCUCUAGGACGUUCCUAAAAAAAUUUGAUUUUUUCCCAUAGGAAUGCAUGGGUUAGGGUUAGGGUUAGGGUUGGAGCUAGGGUUAGGGUUAGGGUUAGGGUUGGAGUUAGGGUUAGUGUUGGAGCUAGGGUUAGGGUUGGGCUUGGAGCUAGGAUUUUUCUGAGUGCAAUGAACCAACUCCCGAGUCUCUAGGACGUUCCUAAAAAAUUUGAUUUUUUCCCGUAGGAAUGCAUGGGUUAGGGUUAGGGUUAGGGUUGGAGCUAGGGUUAGGGUUAGGGUUAGGGUUGGAGUUAGGGUUAGUGUUGGAGCUAGGGUUAGGGUUGGGCUUGGAGCUAGGAUUUUUCUGAGUGCACUGAACCAACUCCCGAGUCUCUAGGACAUUCCUAAAAAAAUUUGAUUUUUUCCCAUAGGAAUGCAUGGGUUAGGGUUAUGGUUAGGGUUAGGGUUGGAGCUAGGGUUAGGGUUAGGGUUAGGGUUGGAGUUAGGGUUAGUGUUGGAGCUAGGGUUAGGGUUGGGCUUGGAGCUAGGAUUUUUCUGAGUGCACUGAACCAACUCCCGAGUCUCUAGGACGUUCCUAAAAAAAUUUGAUUUUUUCCCAUAGGAAUGCAUGGGUUAGGGUUAGGGUUAGGGUUGGAGCUAGGGUUAGGGUUAGGGUUAGGGUUGGAGUUAGGGUUAGUGUUGGAGCUAGGGUUAGGGUUGGGCUUGGAGCUAGGAUUUUUCUGAGUGCACUGAACCAACUCCCGAGUCUCUAGGACAUUCCUAAAAAAAUUUGAUUUUUUUCCCAUAGGAAUGCAUGGGUUAGGGUUAGGGUUAGGGUUGGAGCUAGGGUUAGGGUUAGGGUUAGGGUUGGAGUUAGGGUUAGUGUUGGAGCUAGGGUUAGGGUUGGGCUUGGAGCUAGGAUUUUUCUGAGCGCAAUGAACCAACUCCCGAGUCUCUAGGACGUUCCUAAAAAAAUUUGAUUUUUUCCCAUAGGAAUGCAUGGGUUAGGGUUAGGGUUAGGGUUGGAGCUAGGGUUAGGGUUAGGGUUAGGGUUGGAGUUAGGGUUAGUGUUGGAGCUAGGGUUAGGGUUGGGCUUGGAGCUAGGAUUUUUCUGAGUGCACUGAACCAACUCCCGAGUCUCUAGGACAUUCCUAAAAUAAUUUGAUUUUUUCCCAUAGGAAUGCAUGGGUUAGGGUUAGGGUUAGGGUUGGAGCUAGGGUUAGGGUUAGGGUUAGGGUUGG
This is a non-coding RNA of Xyrichtys novacula (pearly razorfish), 1271 nucleotides long. The record is from the annotation of a GenBank genome assembly. NCBI's taxonomy places the organism in Eukaryota, Metazoa, Chordata, Actinopteri, Labriformes, Labridae.